UUGGUUGCAUCGGUCAAGUAUGAUUUGGUAUGUAUUUUGGUUAAUUUGAAGAAUUGAUCAAGUGUUAAUUUAUGCAGUUUGUCUCCAAAAGCAAAACACUCUCGGCGUUCAUUAUCUCUUUCAAGUUGUAGCCUUUUGCGGCGACCUGGGAACUGCAUGUUAGGAUCUUGAUGGCAUGUGGUGCUCAAACGCCUGCAACUUUGUGGUAUGAGGUAACAAUGUUUUGUUGAUAAGCACCUCUGGAACACCUUAAUGUUGUGACUAACAAUAACACUAAUUUUAUAUUUAUUAAAGACAUGGUCUGCAAUUGUUGUAGACUGGAUGACAGUAGAUGGAUGAGUUGCAAUCUAAAAGCUGGAUCACUGAACAUAAUGCUAUUGGUAACAACAAUUACAAAUCAGCAGGGUUACAGUUUAAUAGCUUCAAAUAACCCAUGCUCUAAGUUCUGGGUUGAGCUUAUCCUUCUCUUUCGGGUUUCUUUUAUUGUCCUAUAUUGAGUUGGUUAUAUUUUACCUACAAAUGGUUCAUGGAUUCGUGUACUCCUCACAAUAGAAUUUUAACACUUGUGCAUGACAUUGAGUUCAAUUACUUUCCCCCUGGACUUUGCUCAAGAUUCGUUGUAGAUGGAUAUCUUCCUUUUGGUUACACUAACUUCGAUCUGGAAUUUUGACUUGUGGAGCAAGUCGUCAAAUUUUUCAUGCCUCAUUCUGGAUACUGAAUUGAGUUUUGUUUGUUUAAUUUUUUUUUGUUGCAGAUCUCGGUCAAGAUCCAGAUCUCCAAGUUUGUCUCCUCAACGUUACCAGAGUCGCAGUCCUAGCCGAAGUUCAAGGAGCCUGUAAGAAUCCGGGUUGGCUUAAGUGAGAUCUGAAUGCAUGCAGUCAAUGUUUUAAUCCGGGGAGACCACUAAUGAACAUGCAUUUUAAUUCUGUGCUACAUCUAAGGUCAAAUAUAGCUCUAUUACAGACAAGUCUUGUUUUAUAUUUGAAUCUUAAAUUUGAUAUGCGAUACUGUGAAACAAACCUCUUGUGCAUUUAAAUUUGAAGUGGAUGAUUAGAACGAA
Molecule: long non-coding RNA, 1060 nt
Organism: Trifolium pratense (red clover)
Lineage: Eukaryota; Viridiplantae; Streptophyta; Magnoliopsida; Fabales; Fabaceae
Exons: 4
Source: RefSeq, a predicted model, not a curated record